CAGCCACCCUGGUGCUUCCCAGGCCUCUUCUGGGAUUCCCUGUUGCUGGGCUCAGUCUACCUGGGGCUGCAACCACAAGUUGCUUACGUGCCUAGCCUCUCCUCUUUCAGCUAAACCCAGUCUCCUCAUCAGCGCCUACAGCUGGGGAGAGGAGAUUAAGCCUUGGAGAGUGGAGAUGACGUACCCAGGACCCGUCAGCUAAUAUGUGGCAGAGCCUGAAUAGACACUCUGACCCUGCCUUCCUCUGAAGUCAUCUUGAAAUUAGAGGACAUGUGCUGGGUCAUAGAGAGGUGGGCUUCUGUGGAGCUACUGGCCCAGCUGAGUUCCACGGACAGCCUUAGUACAUGACACUGCUGAGCCUGGUCCCCUGUGUCCUCUGUUGGUGUUGCUGUUGAUUUUGGAUGCAAGUGCCAGCUUCCAUGCCGCCUUCCCAGAGGAGCCGUCCGUCUCUCUGCAGCUCAGCGCCUUGGAUUCCCUUGUCCUCCGCCCACUAGAGUGCUUUGGACACACUUCAAGUCUGGCUCCUCUCCCAGUAUAGGAGGUGAGCUG
This is a long non-coding RNA of Balaenoptera musculus (blue whale), 549 nucleotides long. RefSeq lists it as uncharacterized. NCBI's taxonomy places the organism in Eukaryota, Metazoa, Chordata, Mammalia, Artiodactyla, Balaenopteridae. The transcript is spliced from 4 exons. The record is from RefSeq and is a predicted model, not a curated record.